This 291-nucleotide ribosomal RNA is filed under the name uncultured Prevotella sp. Its description in RNAcentral is "partial 16S ribosomal RNA". It matches the Rfam family "Bacterial small subunit ribosomal RNA", at positions 355 to 642 of the family's 1533-position model. The record is from RNAcentral. Lineage: Bacteria; Pseudomonadati; Bacteroidota; Bacteroidia; Bacteroidales; Prevotellaceae.
UGAGGAAUAUUGGUCAAUGGGCGAGAGCCUGAACCAGCCAAGUAGCGUGCAGGACGACGGCCCUAUGGGUUGUAAACUGCUUUUAUAAGGGAAUAAAGUGGGUCACGUGUGACUUUUUGCAUGUACCUUAUGAAUAAGGACCGGCUAAUUCCGUGCCAGCAGCCGCGGUAAUACGGAAGGUCCGGGCGUUAUCCGGAUUUAUUGGGUUUAAAGGGAGCGUAGGCCGGAGAUUAAGCGUGUUGUGAAAUGUAGUGGCUCAACCUCUGCACUGCAGCGCGAACGUGGGGUCUU